UUUUUCCUUAAGUGCUGCUCAAUGGAAAUUUAUUUUUUUUUUGGAUCAUUGCAAUAUUUUUUUAGUAAGAAAAAUUUUGUCAUGUUUUUAAUCCAACGCUACUUUUUUUUUUUUAACUCAGCCACUGCGCGCCGACAUUUUAAAUCUGCCUCAACUGUUUGCUUCCUUCCGCCGUGAUAAGUUUCUCCUUCCUUGAGUCUGUGGUGUGUACUGGGAUGCGAAAGGCUCUAGGUGUCAGAUGCCUCCCUUCAUUCUUCAGGCUGCAAGCUUCCAGGUCAAAGAAGAGUCAUCCUCCUUUAAGUGCCAAGAAGAGGCCUUCUACCUUCUGGUGCAAGAAGACAUUGAACAAGAAUUGGAAGCUAAAGCUACCAAAGAAGUUGAAAGAAAACUAAGCAGGGAUUUAGUGCAAGAAGAGGAAGAACAGUUGAUGGAAGAAAGGAAAAAGAGAAAAGAAGACAAGAAAAAGAAGGAAGCUGCUCAAAAAAAGGUAUGUGGAUCAUUUAAGUUAAAAAAAAUAGGAUUUGGCUUUUGUUUUUUUUCUCAGACUAAUUUUGCUUAUUGUAAUAUAGCUGUUAAAGAUAAGCCCUUUUUUUUUUUUUUUUAAAUCUCAUUAUAGCACUUCCAAAGCACAAUGCAAUCAUCAAGUAACUGUCUUACUGAACAUCUUUACUGAUCUUGCAGGCAUAGUUUUUUCAAAGCUAAAAAUCUUGUUUAGAUAUCCAUUUAGCUCACAGAUCUUCAGUUGAUAGGGACGUUUCUGGAUGCAAGCCCAUGCAUACACAAUGUGAAGACUGACAUAGUAUAAAAUGUUUUUUAAAAUAGUUGUUUUUAGCUGUUAGCCUUAUUUUAAUACAUCUGAUUAGCCUUCUGUGAUUAGUGUAACUCUUCAUCACACAUGCUUUAUCAAAGAUGGAUAAAAUUAAAACAUUGGCAGCAGGGAGUGGGGUUUAAGACUAGUUAUGGUAAAGUGCUUUGAAGAUAUAAGAGCAUUGAGUGAAUACUAAGAAUUAUUCCCAAGACAUUUUUAAAGAAAAAAUACAAAAUUACUUUUUGGGUAAUGUUAAAACAGUAUCCGUCAGUCAUUAGUAUUUAACAUUGUAGAUGCCCUGGUUGAGAGGAGCCCAUAAAUCUGGCUAAGAACAUAUCUCCAUUUCAGACUUCCAAUUCCUGUAAGGAGACAUCUAAAAUAAGCCUAGUUCUCAAUUUUUUCUUGAUCCUCCUUAGCAAUGUAAAAUGUUCAGUUCAUAUGCAGAAAGAUGGCUAGUCAUUUCUGCAACCCAGACCUCUUGUCAAAAUAAAAGGGUUUAUCUCAUUUACA
RNAcentral lists this long non-coding RNA (1318 nucleotides) under Chrysemys picta bellii (western painted turtle). RNAcentral's name for it is "lncRNA (ENSCPBG00000001862.1)". The record is from RNAcentral. Lineage: Eukaryota; Metazoa; Chordata; Testudines; Emydidae.